RNAcentral lists this long non-coding RNA (1122 nucleotides) under Anas platyrhynchos platyrhynchos (common mallard). Its description in RNAcentral is "lncRNA (ENSAPLG00000020219.1)". The record is from RNAcentral. Lineage: Eukaryota; Metazoa; Chordata; Aves; Anseriformes; Anatidae.
AAAAGGACAAACCCUCUUGCCACCUCUCUGCCCUCUUGGUAUUUCUGAAAUUAGCAGCACACUGGGCCUGGUGAUGUUUAUGAUGUUUGAGCUGUAGGAACAGGAAAGCUGCACAGGAGCAGCAAUUUCACCCUAAACAAUCUAAUUGUUGUUAUUAUUACAAACUAUACCUUGUCAAGGAUACAUAUAUGUGUAAUUUGGGCUUCCUCGGGUGUCAUUUCCAGGGUUCAGAAACUCAUAGAUGGCAGCCCUGCUCGGUCUUGCCCUUGUAUGUUUAAGGUCACCACUUGCAUUACCAAACUCAUUUUACGGGGCUGAAUUUAGUACAGCAGAUGGCAAAGCACUCUGCUGCAUAAUGUGCCUUUGUCCUGAGCCGGAGGACUCAGGGGCACUCCAGAGGCCAUUUCCUCUGACUUUUGACCUGCUUCUGGAGGCUGGUAGCAGUCACACCGACUUCCGUGGGCUGCAGGGACCUCUCCGGAUGGGGGCAGUUGCCUUGCUGCCGAAACCUACCAACCCACACCUGGGUUUUUGCUCUCUCCUUCCUUCUUAAUGACAGGCAUUUUGGCCGACUGCUGCACAUUCGUGUCAACAAACCCCAGAGGGGCUGUAGGCUUUGGUCUGGAGGAUUACAGAGGUGAAAACUGCUGCCAGGUGUUUCAAAUACAGAGAAGUCUGUGUUGCAGCCCAUCAGAAGUCAGCAUUGGGAUACUUCUUACAGUAGAAAAUCAGGGGAUAUUUCUGCAUGCCCAAGUGGUGGCACAAAGGAAUAUACAGGUAUUAGAAGGCACAGGGUCUCCUGGAACUGGGCUGGAAGACUGUGGAGCAUGGAAGGACCCAAAGCUGGCAGCAUUGUGUUCACACAGCUGAAACAGCACUUGGCACAGCCCAUCCCAGUAACCCUUACCUGGACAUUAUCUUGAAGACUGCAAGCCGACACAAGGCAAAACUGCCAGGAUGCAUAUUAGCAGUGAAACAAUCUGGACAAUUCACUUGUUCAGCACUGAAGCACUCCUUGCUAAAAUAAUAAUAAUAAUAAUAACAACAACAAUAACAAUAACCGUAACAAUAAUAAUAAUAAUUUUUAAAACUGCCAAAAAUACUUUUAAAUAAAUAUCUUAA